GGCUCAGGACGAACGCUGCGGCGUGCCUAACACAUGCAAGUCGAACGAAGCUCCUGAUCUGAUCCUCGGGUGAAGUGAAGGAAGACUAGUGGCGACGGGUGAGUAACGCGUGAGCAACCUGCCUUCAGAGGGGGAUAACAGUUGGAAACGACUGCUAAUACCGCAUAACAUAUUGGAGUCGCAUGGCUCUGAUAUCAAAGCUGAGGCGCUGAGAGAUGGGCUCGCGUCCGAUUAGAUAGUUGGUGGGUAACGGCCUACCAAGUCGACGAUCGGUAGCCGGACUGAGAGGUUGAACGGCCACAUUGGGACUGAGACACGGCCCAGACUCCUACGGGAGGCAGCAGUGGGGGAUAUUGCACAAUGGGCGAAAGCCUGAAUGCAGCAACGCCGCGUGAGGGAAGACGGUUUUCGGAUUGUAAACCUCUGUCUUUGGUGAAGAAGGAAGUGACGGUAACCAAGGAGGAAGCCACGGCUAACUACGUGCCAGCAGCAGC
Molecule: ribosomal RNA, 494 nt
Filed under: uncultured bacterium
Lineage: Bacteria
Description: bacterial SSU rRNA
Rfam family: Bacterial small subunit ribosomal RNA
Source: RNAcentral